CACACCAUAACAGAUGUUAAUUACAAUUUAUGAUAUAAAUAGCACCUAUGUUUGUCAUAUUCCAGCAGGCCAGAUGAGCCCUGUUACUGGUUAGAUGGCCUUUUAAGCUCUGGAUAUGGCAGACAUAGUGUGGUUAUCAUAUUAUAACAUAUUCAUCUUUGAUUUUACUUGUAAGAUAUACAACUAUGUAUCAAUGAAGAACAUGGUCCCUAAGUUUUUAAAGAAGCUAGGUUAGUAAACUACUAGUAAACACACACUAGAGAAUAAAUAUGUAAAAUUAUUACUUUAAGGAUGUACAGAGAAAUUAAUUUAUGUGAAUGUAUUUCAUGUUUAUGUUUUUACUAUUUAGUUCUGUUCACUGAAAAUUUAAUGUAUCUUUUUUUUUGUUAUUCUUAUGUAGUAUGCAUCAACAUAUCAUUGACUUCUAUUCAAAAUAGCUUAUUUCAACGUUAUUAAAAAGGCAAUGCCCAUAUUUAAUUUCAGAAAUAAUCUCAGAAAAAUUAGGAAGGUUUCAACCUUCUAAGAGUACUCAGUAUAAAAGGUGUUUCUGAAUAGUGAUUUUUCAAUAUAAUUUCAGGUAAUAACAAUUAAAAUCAAGAAAUGCUGUGAUGAGCCAACUGAUAGUUCUUGAAGUAUAGUAAGUCUUACCUUCAGUCAUUACAGGUGUUAAUUUCAAUUGUUGAUUAUCAUAAAAGAAUAAUGGUUAUGUAAGCCGUUAACACAAUCGUUGUAAACAUUCUAAUCAUCUUACUAAAUAUGUUAUGAAGAAGAAAAAUGAAAUGAUAAUUAAAAAUAUUAAUAAAAAUCAACUUUAUAAUGUUUUUUGAUAACUUUAAGGCGCCUUCACUACCAUCUGUAUAGCCCUGUAAGAAGUGUUCUUUCGUUUUAAGGUAACUGUGUUGAUAGAAGCUAACAUCUUUAUAGCUUACAAAAUAUUGUAACUGUCUGUGUAUUAUCUGUUGUGCUUUCAAAAGUAAUAUCUAAAUACAAUGAUAGCAAAUAUAGAGUGUUAUUUGUUUUAAAACAUAUCUAAUCAUAUUGACAGUAAACGUUGUUUUAAAAAGCUUUUGGAUAGACUUGAAAUCAAGAAAAUGGCAGAAGACCAUAGUACAUUCAGUCCCCAUUUUGAAGACAUUGCUUAAAUCCACUUUAAAAUAAUAACAUUUGGAUAAUAAUUUGUUUCAAGGAAAAUAUAAUGAAAGCCUGAGUCAUAAAAUUAAGUUACCGAAGAAAUUUAUUAUUGACCCCAUGAGAAUUUAGGACCCAUUGCAGCUAAUUUUUCAUGAUACCCAAGAUAAUUAUCCCAUACUUCUGAAAUAAAUUUACUUUUAUAAUUAGUAAGUAAGAUAAAAUUAUUAUCUUGUAUCAAUGAUCAUUAUAAUUUAAUAUAUAUAUCUUGGUUCAAUGAGUGGUAGUUCGUAAGAGCUCUAUGCAAAAUUAAAAAAGAAAAUAAUUUUCUUAUAAGCCUAGAAAGGAAAAAAAACUUCAUAAAGUGUAAAUAUGUAUAUUUAAAAGUACAGAAAUUUACUAGAAUGUAAUUAGUUGUUACUGUAUGUACAUUUAUAGUUUUAAAUAUGAGGCUCCUAACUGAUAGCUCAAGUAUGCCAAAUAACUUGGGUAUUGAUAUUUUCUUCUCAUUUUUUUACAUUUUUCAGGUACUUGUGUAUUAUUUUCAGUGGUUUUAAUUCUUUUGUCAUCCUUGAUAUUAAUUUCUUGAACUUUGGGUUCGCUACUUUAACUUUAUUCUAGGUAUUGUUAUUUCAAUAUAAAAAUUACCUAUCGUUUACUUCUUUUUGUUUUUUUAUGUUUGUGACCAGUGAUUUUCAUUAAUUUCCCAGUAAUAGUCAAAACUGUCUUCUGCUGAUGAUCUUCCAGUUCUUGGCCACCUUUUAUCAGACUUCUUGUCUCCUCCUUAGCUUGAGAACUUGUGACCAAGUUCAAGUAUACACAGUUGUAUAUGGGUGGUUUGGUUAACAUGACAGUCUUAAUUUGAUUAAAAAACUCAUUCCUAUAACAUCAUAGCACUGCAAUACAUACCACUGAUUAAAUUCUCUUCAAUAAGUAUAUUAUCUCUUCUUGUGCUUGUACUUUGUCCUAAUUCGUUUAUCACCAUCUCUACUGGAUGGCCAUGACACUGAUUCAAUCUCUCCUAAGCAGGUUGAGUUUUUAGUGAGACAGGAUUUUAGGGAUACAGUUUCUCAGAGGCUGGCUUUUUCAUCAGAAUUUCAUCUUUUUCUUUUUUGUGUGGGAUUGUUUCUGUCACGAAACAUUAUGAAUAGAUCUUUUUCAACUUGUUAUGGUUUGAAUUUAGUUUUCACGUUAUCUUGUCUCUUGUAUGUUAACCCUGUUUUAUGUGUAGUGCAAUGUAUCUCCUAAUAUUAACCCCUUAUCAUUCAUGGAAGAGUUUUUCCAUUGCCGUAACAACACUUUGACCAUAACAAACCAGACACGAGGCACUAAAAUGGUGCACGAGACAUUUGGUGUGUAUAUAUACAGGUGGAGAUGUUGUGUAAAUAUAUGGUGAAGAUCAUAAAGGAUUAGUGAAUGUUAAGCAAGAAAUGUUAUAGUGGUAGUCGUUAAUUGUUAGCAGUGAUUAAACAUUAAGUUUGUAUCCCUACUUAAUGGAUCAGUGGACUGGGUUGUUUUUUAUUAAGACUUUUUUUACUCAAGAUAGUUUUUCCCGAUGCAGGUAUCCGACUUAUUCCCUUAAAAUUAAAUAUCUACGUGAAUUGAAAUUACCAUGCUUUUUUUUUACUUGAUGGUCUACUCUAGCCGUUUCACAUCUUGUACUUAGUAAAAGGUUAUAUAUUUUGUUUAUAAUUACAAGCUUGUCCUGUCAAUAGCUGUUUGCUUUCUUCUCUGCCAUUCUUAAAUUUCAGCCAGGAACUAAGAUGUUUUUAUUUAGAAUAUUCACCACUCUUUCAGUCCAUAUCUGGAGUAAUACAUCUCAUUAGUAUUUAUUUCAAGUCACAUCUCAUCAGACCAUAUCCCUAACUGCUGCUACUCAUUAUUCUUUGAAAGAAAUUGAAUGGUCCGUCAUACACACUACUUUCAUUACCAUCAUAAAUGAUUUAUUUGUAUUUUGUUACAGUAGCAUGUAUUUCUAUGUGUUUCAUUGCUUCUCAUUUUCUUUAAUUUUAUCCUGCAGUGAUUUUGGAACUUUUAAAUUGAAGGUGAAUGUUUUGUUCUCCCACCUGAUGUUGGUUUUAAGGCACUAGUAGUCAGUGGCAUAGCCAGCACUACAAAAUGGAGGGGAUCUUUUUCUAAACAAAAAGUGGACAUUUUCUUCUACAUAAAUAAUUUAAGUGACUUAUGUAAAGGUCAAGUGUUAAGUUAUUUUAACUCGGAAGACAGUAGAAUUUUUAGAAUAUUGGAUUAUAAAAGUGACAGUCAAUUGCAAUAUUUGGUUUAAAAAAUCCAUGCAACAACAAGGGCUUUCGAUUGGUUACCUUUCCUCUUGUUAGAAGUUAAAAAUUAGUGACAGUUGUACUUUAAUCUGGCCAUUUGGUUCACAUAGGUGCAUAAGGUGUCAUUCAAGCCUGACAGUUUCUACUUUAGUUGUAAAGGUUUAAACAUUUUAAAAUAAAUACUGCAUGAACAAAGAAUGGUCUCAUAGUGUCAGCUUUCUUUAGAAAAGUUUGUGGUAUGUUGUGCAGUGUAAUUUAUUUGAUAUAACUCAUUUACAUUAGAUAAAUAUUUUAGCUUUAUUUUACUUUAAUGUAUGCUAAAAAAUCCAUUCAAAGUGAUAUAUAUUUGGUUCCAUCACAACCUCAUUUGUAACUAUCCAUUUUAAGUUUUGCUAGAGUGGUAUCGUUAGUCCCAUCACAGCUUCACUUAACUAUUCAUUUUAAAUUUUGCUAGAGUGGUAUCGUUAGUCCCAUCACAGCUUCACUUAACUAUUCAUUUUAUGUUUUGCUUGAGUGAUAUCUUUUGUCCCAUGACAACCUAAUUUGUAACUAUUCAUUUUAAAUUUUGCUAGAGUGAUAUCUUUAGUCCCAUCACAACCUCAUUUGUAACUAUCCAUUUUAAGUUUUGCUAGGGUGAUAUUUUAACAACUCCCACAAGUUAAUAUUGUAAAUGUUUUUUUAAUUCAAUAAAGACACGGUUAUCAUUUAUUGCUGAAAUGGGAUUCAUUGGGAGAGGAUACUCGUUAUGCACAUAUAAAAUGAUAUAAAGCAAAGCAUUAUUUGUUCGAUUGUCAUUAUCAACUGCACACACAAAAAAAACUUAAUACAUAUAUUCUAUCUCAAUAGUUAAGUGUUUAAUGAUAUUGAUGUUCAAGAAGUAUUCAAAACACAGGAUGUAUUUGUAGGUUAAUCGUAAAUGUUCCUCAUGUUAAUAUUUGUUUCAAUAAGUAAUAAUUUGGUUUGCAGGAUGUACAUUAACGUACAAAAUUAAAAGGUAUUAAUGAAGUUUCUUGUAAAAGAGAAUAUGUAAUUAAAGAUGUAUGAAUUUUGGAAGUAUCCGAUUGUUAUUGUAUCUUUAUGCAUUUAUUUCUCUUAAUUAAUAGCACAAUUUUAUGGUAGGUAAGUGCAGAUUUUGUGCAAUAAUAUUUUCCCCCAUGAAUUCAAGUUUAAAUAAUUUUAAUGAAGGAGGUGCAAAAAAUAUUUUUCAUGAUUUGUGUGUAAAUACAGUAUUUUCAGUGUGUUUUAGACUAUGCAUGUAAUGGUACAGACAUUACGAUUGUCUUUUAUUAAUUUAAAGAAAAAUGGACAUUAUGUAAAACACAUUUCUGAGUAGUGUGAAAUAUUCACACAUUGUGUCAAACUUUUGGUUAGUGGUUUUUGUUUAUGUACAGGCACUUAUUUCAGAUACUAAAACUGCCAUAUUAAAUGAGCAGCUUAUUACACCUAGUACUGUUGCAUAUGUGCCUUUAAAGUAUAAACAUAUUAGGCUUAUUACAUAGAAUCUAUGAGCAUGUUUACCUAGUUCUGUUUGAUGUACAAUCGGAAUUAACCAAAGCUUAAACAUGUUUACCUUGUUCUGUUUGAUGUACAAUCGGAAUUAACCGAUGCUUAAACAUGUUUACCUAGUUCUGUUUGAUGUACAAUCGGAAUUAACCAAAGCUUAAACAUGUUUACCUUGUUCUGUUUGAUGUACAAUCGGAAUUAACCGAUGCUUAAACAUGUUUACCUAGUUCUGUUUGAUGUACAAUCAGAAUUAACCAAAGCUUAAACAUGUUUACUUCAUUCCAUCUAUAUAGUUGCCGUGGCAACUAUGAUAAUAAACGAGAUAUACGGGAUUGUAAAAUGUAUAAUUAUAAAAGUAUGAAAUGAUAUUGAGAUGUAUGAGUCAGUCAAUAAAGACAGAGUUACUGAUAAA
RNAcentral lists this long non-coding RNA (5322 nucleotides) under Limulus polyphemus (Atlantic horseshoe crab). Its description in RNAcentral is "uncharacterized LOC111087992". The record is from RNAcentral. Lineage: Eukaryota; Metazoa; Arthropoda; Merostomata; Xiphosura; Limulidae.